Molecule: ribosomal RNA, 380 nt
Filed under: uncultured eukaryote
Lineage: Eukaryota
Description: partial 18S ribosomal RNA
Rfam family: Eukaryotic small subunit ribosomal RNA
Source: RNAcentral
CAAUAGCGUAUAUUAAAGUUGUUGCAGUUAAAAAGCUCGUAGUUGGAUUUGUGGCGUACGGUGGGUUCCGGGCACUUGUUGUCUGAGUAACUUGCUGUUGCCCUCCUUGGGUGGAACCUGUGUGGCAUUAGGUUGUCGUGCAGGGGAUGCCCAUCAUUUACUGUGAAAAAAUUAGAGUGUUCAAAGCAGGCUUAUGCCGUUGAAUAUAUUAGCAUGGAAUAAUGAGAUAGGACUUUUUUGCUAUUUUGUUGGUUUGCGCAAAGAGGUAAUGAUUAAUAGGGACAGUUGGGGGUAUUCGUAUUCCAUUGUCAGAGGUGAAAUUCUUGGAUUUUUGGAAGACGAACUACUGCGAAAGCAUUUACCAAGGAUGUUUUCAUUAA